Molecule: non-coding RNA, 1480 nt
Organism: Sus scrofa (pig)
Lineage: Eukaryota; Metazoa; Chordata; Mammalia; Artiodactyla; Suidae
Source: RefSeq, a predicted model, not a curated record
CACGGCUGCCUUGUAAACAAAAACCAAGGACAUAACACUUACAUGAAUUGUUUUUAUACAGACCUCCCCUGUUCCAGCCCAUCUAAUGACCUUUUUGACAAGUACCUGGAACUCUGUGCCCCUAAGUGGAUUUCACUCUGUACUGAAUAACUGUUCAGCCACGUCAUAUCCUUUGUGGAAUGAGGUGGUCGUCAACCUUGGCUACACAUUAGAAUCACCUGAAGAGUUUUUAAAUCCUGAUGCUCAAGCUUCGCCCUAGACCAAGUAAAUCAGAAUUUCUGUCAUCGGUACUUGUUAAAGUUCCACAGAUGAUUCUAGUGUGCAUUUUACGUUGAAAACAAUUGCUUACCUAGAUCUGAACUAGAGUCAAAGCUUGCCAAAGGGCCACGCCUGUGGCACAUGAAGGCUACCAGGCUAGGCGUCAGAUCAGAGCUCUAGCUGCCGGCCUACACCACAGCCAGAGCAACCCAGAAUCUGAGCUGCGUCUGCGACCUACACCACAGCUCACGGCAACACUGGAUCCUUAACCCACUGAGCGAGGCCGGGGAUCCAACCUGCAAUCUCAUGGUUCCUAGUCGGAUUCAUUUCCAUUUCUCCAGGAUGGGAACUCCAGCUUUUUAACUAUUCUCUGUCCUUCGAAAUUUCACGAGAACUUUACAACCAGCUUGUAAAUGCCUUUUUAAAUAAUCCGGCCAUGAUUCUGAUUGGGAUGGUUUUGACUCUGUAGUUCAAUUUAUGGAGGGUUGACAUCAUAAUAAUAUGAAGCCUUCCCCUCAUGAGUGAUUUCCAUCCCACUUUUUUAGAUCUUUAAUUUCUCUUUGUAUUUUUCAGUAUAAUUGUUGUGCACAUUUUUUGUUAAAUUUUUAUUUCUAAGUAUUUUGUUUUGAUGCUUUUGUAAAUGGCAUUAUUUUUAAAAUUUCACAUAUGGCCCAGUAGCAUAAAAUAUCUUGAUGAAUAUUCAAUGUGCACUUGUAAAGAAUGUACUCUGCAACUAUUGGAUCAUCUAAAUAUGUCAAUUAGGUCAAGUUGGUAAGACUAUUACUCAAAUCUUCUAUAUCCUUAUUGAUAUUUUGUCUAUUUAUUCUAUCAUACACUGAAAGAGCAGUAUUAAAAGGGCAGUAUGACUGCAGGUCUAUUUCUCUCGUCAAUUUUUGCUUUUGCAUGUGUUGAAGCUCUGUUAUUCCCUGCAUACGUGCUUGGGAUUGUUAUAUUUUCUUGACUGAUUGGCCUUUUAUUGUUGCAAUAUCAUUCUUUGUUCCUGGAAAUACUCUUUGUCUUUAAAUUUGCUUGGCCUCAUAUAUGUAAAUACUAGCUUUCUGAUGCUCAGUGUUUGCAUCGUAUAGAGAAGCAGAUAGUUUGAAAAUGAAUGAGGGUAAAAAAAAAUCUAUGUCUCUGUAUUUAAGUGCAUCUCUUGUAAACAGCAUAUGAUUGAGUCUUGCUUUUCAUCCAGGCUGACAACACUUUUUUUUUUUUUUUUUAA